AUGAACGCUAGCGGGAGGCCUAACACAUGCAAGUCGAACGGGAUUGGGAGCUUGCUCCCAUGGGAGUGGCGCACGGGUGAGUAACGCGUAUGCAACCUACCUUUAACUGAGGGAUAGCCCAUAGAAAUGUGGAUUAAUACCUCAUAGUUCUUUUGAUCCGCAUGGAUUAAAAGAUAAAGCUCCGGCGGUUAAAGAUGGGCAUGCGUGACAUUAGCUAGUUGGUAAGGUAACGGCUUACCAAGGCUACGAUGUCUAGGGGUUCUGAGAGGAUGAUCCCCCACACUGGUACUGAGACACGGACCAGACUCCUACGGGAGGCAGCAGUGAGGAAUAUUGGUCAAUGGGCGCAAGCCUGAACCAGCCAUCCCGCGUGCAGGAUGAAGGCCCUAUGGGUCGUAAACUGCUUUUAUACACCAAGAAAAACACCCACGUGUGGGUGCCCGACGGUAGUGUAUGAAUAAGCAUCGGCUAACUCCGU
RNAcentral lists this ribosomal RNA (478 nucleotides) under uncultured bacterium. Its description in RNAcentral is "bacterial SSU rRNA". It matches the Rfam family "Bacterial small subunit ribosomal RNA", at positions 29 to 506 of the family's 1533-position model. The record is from RNAcentral.